This 466-nucleotide ribosomal RNA is filed under the name uncultured Solirubrobacterales bacterium. Its description in RNAcentral is "bacterial SSU rRNA". It matches the Rfam family "Bacterial small subunit ribosomal RNA", at positions 337 to 795 of the family's 1533-position model. Lineage: Bacteria; Bacillati; Actinomycetota; Thermoleophilia; Solirubrobacterales. The record is from RNAcentral.
GCCUACGGGGGGCAGCAGUGGGGAAUCUUGCGCAAUGCGCGAAAGCGUGACGCAGCAACGCCGCGUGGGGGAAGAAGGCCUUCGGGUUGUAAACCUCUUUCAGUUGGGACGAAGCUUCUGCGGUGAAUAGCCGUAUGGAGUGACGGUACCUUCACAAGAAGCCCCGGCUAACUACGUGCCAGCAGCCGCGGUAAUACGUAGGGGGCAAGCGUUGUCCGGAAUCAUUGGGCGUAAAGCGCGUGUAGGCGGCUCGGUAAGUCCGCUCUGAAAGUCCAGGGCUCAACCCUGGGAUGCGGGUGGAUACUGCCGAGCUCGAGUCCGGAAGAGGCGAGUGGAAUUCCUGGUGUAGCGGUGAAAUGCGCAGAUAUCAGGAGGAACACCAAUGGCGAAGGCAGCUCGCUGGGACGUGACUGACGCUGAGACGCGAAAGCGUGGGGAGCAAACAGGAUUAGAUACCCCAGUAGUC